This 274-nucleotide ribosomal RNA is filed under the name uncultured bacterium. Its description in RNAcentral is "partial 16S ribosomal RNA". It matches the Rfam family "Bacterial small subunit ribosomal RNA", at positions 523 to 796 of the family's 1533-position model. The record is from RNAcentral.
AUACGGAGGGUGCGAGCGUUAAUCGGAAUUACUGGGCGUAAAGCGCGCGUAGGCGGCUUGUUAAGUCAGAUGUGAAAGCCCUGGGCUUAACCUGGGAACUGCAUUUGAUACUGGCAGGCUAGAGUAUGGUAGAGGGAAGUGGAAUUCCGGGUGUAGCGGUGAAAUGCGUAGAGAUCCGGAGGAACACCAGUGGCGAAGGCGACUUCCUGGACCAAUACUGACGCUGAGGUGCGAAAGCGUGGGGAGCAAACAGGAUUAGAAACCCUAGUAGUCC